CCUACGGGGGGCAGCAGUGGGGAAUAUUGGACAAUGGGGGGAACCCUGAUCCAGCCAUGCCGCGUGUGUGAAGAAGGCCCUCGGGUUGUAAAGCACUUUCAGUGAGGAAGAACGCCUGAUGGUUAAUACCCAUCAGGAAAGACAUCACUCACAGAAGAAGCACCGGCUAACUCCGUGCCAGCAGCCGCGGUAAUACGGAGGGUGCGAGCGUUAAUCGGAAUUACUGGGCGUAAAGCGCGCGUAGGUGGCUUGAUAAGCCGGUUGUGAAAGCCCCGGGCUCAACCUGGGAACGGCAUCCGGAACUGUCAAGCUAGAGUGCAGGAGAGGAAGGUAGAAUUCCCGGUGUAGCGGUGAAAUGCGUAGAGAUCGGGAGGAAUACCAGUGGCGAAGGCGGCCUUCUGGACUGACACUGACACUGAGGUGCGAAAGCGUGGGUAGCAAACAGGAUUAGAUACCCGGGUAGUC
RNAcentral lists this ribosomal RNA (465 nucleotides) under Vreelandella stevensii. RNAcentral's name for it is "partial 16S ribosomal RNA". It matches the Rfam family "Bacterial small subunit ribosomal RNA", at positions 338 to 795 of the family's 1533-position model. Lineage: Bacteria; Pseudomonadati; Pseudomonadota; Gammaproteobacteria; Oceanospirillales; Halomonadaceae. The record is from RNAcentral.